RNAcentral lists this ribosomal RNA (253 nucleotides) under uncultured bacterium. RNAcentral describes it as "partial 16S ribosomal RNA". It matches the Rfam family "Bacterial small subunit ribosomal RNA", at positions 524 to 776 of the family's 1533-position model. The record is from RNAcentral.
UACAGAGGUCCCAAGCGUUGUUCGGAUUCAUUGGGCGUAAAGGGCGCGUAGGCGGUCUGCUAAGUUGGAUGUGAAAACUCUGGGCUUAACCCAGAGCCUGCAUUCAAUACUGACAGGCUAGAGUUCUGGAGGGGAUAGCGGAAUUCCUGGUGUAGCGGUGAAAUGCGUAGAUAUCAGGAGGAACACCGGUGGCGAAGGCGGCUAUCUGGACAGAGUCUGACGCUGAGGCGCGAAAGCUAGGGGAGCAAACAGG